RNAcentral lists this transfer RNA (76 nucleotides) under Anaerosporomusa subterranea. Its description in RNAcentral is "tRNA-Trp". It matches the Rfam family "tRNA". Rfam says of the family: Transfer RNA (tRNA) molecules are approximately 80 nucleotides in length. Their secondary structure includes four short double-helical elements and three loops (D, anti-codon, and T loops). The record is from RNAcentral. Lineage: Bacteria; Bacillati; Bacillota; Negativicutes; Acetonemataceae. RNAcentral also lists the same sequence under 1 other name.
AGGGGUGUAGCUCAACUGGUAGAGUAGCGGUCUCCAAAACCGUUGGUUGCGGGUUCGAUUCCUGCCGCCCCUGCCA